AACCUUAUGGACCUGCGGGCGUAUACCUGCGGAAGGAUCAUUAUUGGAAAAAAACCUUAUACAAGUUGCAGGAGGGGAGGAAGUGGGUGGAUGGAGUUUUUUCUGUUCACUCUCUUUCUCUUCUUCUGCUUCUUCAAACAAACGAUCACAACUAUAUUGAGAGAUUGGAUUGGAUGAUGAUUUGGUGGUGGUGGGGGAAAAAAGGAGACAAGUGCAGCGCAGAUAGACAGAAAUGCCUUA
This 240-nucleotide unclassified non-coding RNA is filed under the name soil metagenome. RNAcentral's name for it is "partial contains 5.8S ribosomal RNA, internal transcribed spacer 2, and large subunit ribosomal RNA". The record is from RNAcentral.